This is a long non-coding RNA of Mastomys coucha (southern multimammate mouse), 317 nucleotides long. RefSeq lists it as uncharacterized. The record is from RefSeq and is a predicted model, not a curated record. The transcript has 3 exons. NCBI's taxonomy places the organism in Eukaryota, Metazoa, Chordata, Mammalia, Rodentia, Muridae.
GGAAGGCUGAAAGAAGCUGAGGAGGAGGCCGACCCUGUUGGAAGACCAGUAGUCUCAAUUAACCUGGUCCCCAGAGAUCAUUCAGAUACUGGAACAUCAACCAGUAUACUCAAGCCUAAUAAGAGAGAAGAACUGGACACAUCACAAUCUGACAUCGACUUCUUUAUGUUAUUUUAAGAAAAUUGGAGUCACAUCAGAAACAAGCAAAAUUGGAGUCACAACAGAAACUGACAACUGAGAUCAACUUACACAAAAUAGAAAAUGAAACACAAUGCAGUAAGAAGACUUAAACAGUAAUUCUACAGAAUUUGUUCAGU